Molecule: ribosomal RNA, 891 nt
Filed under: Agaricus albiceps
Lineage: Eukaryota; Fungi; Basidiomycota; Agaricomycetes; Agaricales; Agaricaceae
Description: partial large subunit ribosomal RNA
Rfam family: Eukaryotic large subunit ribosomal RNA
Source: RNAcentral
AGGAAAAGAAACUAACAAGGAUUCCCCUAGUAACUGCGAGUGAAGCGGGAAAAGCUCAAAUUUAAAAUCUGGCGGUCUCUGGCCGUCCGAGUUGUAAUCUAGAGAAGUAAUGCCCGUGCUGGACCGUGUAUAAGUCUCCUGGGAUGGGGCGUCAUAGAGGGUGAGAAUCCCGUCUUUGACACGGACUACCAGUGCAUUGUGGUAUGCUCUCAAAGAGUCGAGUUGUUUGGGAAUGCAGCUCAAAAUGGGUGGUAAAUUCCAUCUAAAGCUAAAUAUUGGCGAGAGACCGAUAGCGAACAAGUACCGUGAGGGAAAGAUGAAAAGAACUUUGGAAAGAGAGUUAAACAGUACGUGAAAUUGCUGAAAGGGAAACGCUUGAAGUCAGUCGCGUUGGCCGGGGAUCAGCCUUGCUUUUGCAUGGUGUACUUUCUGGUUGACGGGUCAGCAUCAAUUUUGACCGCUGGAAAAAGACCUGGGGAAUGUGGCAGCUUCGGCUGUGUUAUAGCCCCUAGUCGCAUACAGUGGUUGGGAUUGAGGAACUCAGCACGCCGCAAGGCCGGGUUUCGACCACGUUCGUGCUUAGGAUGCUGGCAUAAUGGCUUUAAGCGACCCGUCUUGAAACACGGACCAAGGAGUCUAACAUGCCUGCGAGUAUUUGGGUGGAAAACCCAAGUGCGUAAUGAAAGUGAAAGUUGAGAUCCCUGUCGUGGGGAGCAUCGACGCCCGGACCAGAACUUUUGGGACGGAUCCGCGGUGGAGCAUGUAUGUUGGGACCCGAAAGAUGGUGAACUAUGCCUGAAUAGGGUGAAGCCAGAGGAAACUCUGGUGGAGGCUCGUAGCGAUUCUGACGUGCAAAUCGAUCGUCAAAUUUGGGUAUAGGGGCGAAAGACU